CCGCGGUAAUACGAAGGGUGCAAGCGUUACUCGGAAUUACUGGGCGUAAAGAGCGCGCAGGCGGUCGUUCAAGUCGAGUGUGAAAGCCCCCGGCUCAACUGGGGAGGGUCAUUCGAUACUGAUCGACUCGAAGGCAGGAGAGGGAAGCGGAAUUCCCGGUGUAGUGGUGAAAUGCGUAGAUAUCGGGAGGAACACCAGUGGCGAAGGCGGCUUCCUGGCCUGUUCUUGACGCUGAGGCGCGAAAGCUAGGGGAGCAAACGGG
RNAcentral lists this ribosomal RNA (262 nucleotides) under uncultured bacterium. RNAcentral's name for it is "partial 16S ribosomal RNA". It matches the Rfam family "Bacterial small subunit ribosomal RNA", at positions 515 to 776 of the family's 1533-position model. The record is from RNAcentral.